This 713-nucleotide ribosomal RNA is filed under the name bacterium 41-L049660-122-017-A06. RNAcentral's name for it is "bacterial SSU rRNA". It matches the Rfam family "Bacterial small subunit ribosomal RNA", at positions 57 to 760 of the family's 1533-position model. The record is from RNAcentral.
GCAGUCGAACGGUAGCACAGAAGAGCUUGCUCUUCGGGUGACGAGUGGCGGACGGGUGAGUAAUGUCUGGGGAUCUGCCCGAUAGAGGGGGAUAACCACUGGAAACGGUGGCUAAUACCGCAUAACGUCGCAAGACCAAAGAGGGGGACCUUCGGGCCUCUCACUAUCGGAUGAACCCAGAUGGGAUUAGCUAGUAGGUGGGGUAACGGCUCACCUAGGCGACGAUCCCUAGCUGGUCUGAGAGGAUGACCAGCCACACUGGAACUGAGACACGGUCCAGACUCCUACGGGAGGCAGCAGUGGGGAAUAUUGCACAAUGGGCGCAAGCCUGAUGCAGCCAUGCCGCGUGUAUGAAGAAGGCCUUCGGGUUGUAAAGUACUUUCAGCGGGGAGGAAGGGAGCGAGGUUAAUAACCUCGUUCAUUGACGUUACCCGCAGAAGAAGCACCGGCUAACUCCGUGCCAGCAGCCGCGGUAAUACGGAGGGUGCAAGCGUUAAUCGGAAUUACUGGGCGUAAAGCGCACGCAGGCGGUCUGCUAAGUCAGAUGUGAAAUCCCCGGGCUUAACCUGGGAACUGCAUUUGAAACUGGCAGGCUAGAGUCUUGUAGAGGGGGGUAGAAUUCCAGGUGUAGCGGGUGAAUGCGUAGAGAUCUGGAGGAAUACCGGUGGCGAAGGCGGCCCCCUGGACAAAGACUGACGCUCAGGUGCGAAAGC